Molecule: long non-coding RNA, 674 nt
Organism: Eriocheir sinensis (Chinese mitten crab)
Lineage: Eukaryota; Metazoa; Arthropoda; Malacostraca; Decapoda; Varunidae
Exons: 3
Source: RefSeq, a predicted model, not a curated record
CUCUGCCAGAACUCUCACGGGCAACCCGAGAUGACUUACAACAGGGAGAUAAAUCAAGACGGGUCUGGUUGCAGCUGAUAGAAGAAUCCAAGAACUACUACAUGAAGUAUUGCCCUCUGCUUGAUGAAAACCCUUAUGGGGCAUACAAGAUUAUUGGAGAGAAGAUGUUAGCUGCUUACCCUAGUAUCGAGAGGGAAGGGAAACAUAAAUGGAGCCAGUAUGCGAAAGCACUCAGUCAAAGUAUACGCACAGAGCGUUUUAGACGUAAAAGAAAAAGCCUUCCUGUAACUCCACAAGAACAACAGCUGCCCCCUAAAAGGUUCACUGUGGGAAAGCACAUAGUUACAGACGCCAGUAAUGCUCUUCCAGAAGAAGAGUUUGAAAAGCAUGUUCUUGAAAUCCAGAAGGUUUGGAAUACUUCAGCAUGCAGUAGCUCACAUGUAGAUAUGCUGCUCAGGGAAUCCUACUGCAACAGAAGACAAUGGUUGCCAUAUCUACCAAAUGGGAAAUUGGCACCAAUACUGGAGAAAUUCCCAUGUUUUCAAGAGUCAAGCUAUGUACUGCGUGAAGUGGAACGCAUGUUGCUAUGUGAAGUAUCAACAUGGAAGGACAGAUUGGAGAAAAUUGUUGAGGCCCUGAGCGAUCAAGUACCUUCUAGUGCAUGUAACAAUGAU